GCACUCGGGCGACAGGUUGUCAGGGCUGUCAGCCUGUCUAAGCAGAGGAAAACGGAGCAGGCAGAGCCGGCCUGAUCUCGGAAUAAAGGCUGCAUGCGACAAACACUGAGGGACCCUAAAAGUCUCGACCAUAGGGCCUCUUCUGGCCAUCUCCGUGGUCGUGUCCCGCUGGAGGAGGAGGCGAUUAGAGACUGUGAGGUGAAGAUGCGGGACCCAAACCACAUUUCACCAGACUGUAUCCUCACCCCCAUCUGACCUUACUGCUGCUCACACUCUCCGUCCCAGAAUGAAAUCCCCAGAAGAUGGAAGAGUGCCCGCCUCACGACGUGAAGCACCUACUCGGCUGGGAACUGAAUUGGAGGUGGAUUCAAGGGGCUCUGGGAAUGAAACCCCAAAUCAGGAGCUGGCCGGAAAGGCUGCAGUUUGCACUCCGACUGUUUCCAACUGUUCCCCGCACUUUGGAGUCCUCCCACCUGGGCACCGGGCCAUGGUGUGGACAGAUUGUGUAAUGAAGCGAAUGUAAGGAUGGAGUUGGAAGCACCUUCUGUGUCAUCAGUCUGCACCUUUUUUUGCAGGUGAAGGUGCGGGACCCCAUCCUUAGGGAUUUUGCGGUGUAUCCCUGGGGCUCCGCUUGAGGUUUCUUCAGGCUGGUUCGCCGCUGCCCUCUCCUAGGGUCAUGGGACUAUCCCGUGGAUCCCACAGAGAAGACAGACUAGAGUCCAUCGCUGACGCACCUCCACAGAGGACUCCUUUUCUGCCAAGCCACAGGGACUAGUCGCCAGGCAAAGGUGGUGUUCACUGUGAUGCGAGCCGUGGCUCACUGGUGCCCUGAGACUGGCGCAUGCCCAUUCGGGAGGCAGGCUCAGGCAUCUGAUGAUGGCAUCUUCCUGGAUUAGGCCCCCACAGAAAUUGAGGAAGUUGUUAUCAGUCAUUUAUACCCUGAAAAUAUUAGUUCACCAGAGCCCUGGAGGGGGAUGGGUAGAAGCUCAUUAAAGUAGGUCUGGAUGGUGCACAGAGUGUGAAGAAAACAGAGAAACCCAGAAAGUCUAAGCCUGAAGACAGCUCCAAUCCUAGGAGAUACUAUUAUUAUGUCCAUCUUACAGAGGAGGAAACUGAAACAAAGGAAGAGAACUUGAUCAAGACCAUGUUGCCCCACAGUGGAAGAGCCAAGAUCCAAACCCAGGUAACCUGCCUCAUCAUCAGAGCCUGGACUCAUAACCUCAUGCUGCAGUUAAGCAGGUUUGCACUGUGGCUAGAUACACAGACUCUGUGUUCACAUCUCAGCUUCUCUGCUAUUUCCAUUUCUGUGACUGUAGGCAAGUUACUUCUCUGUGCUCAGUUUCCUCUAUAAAGUAAGGACAGUAGCACCUGCCUCAGGGGGGUCUCUUAAAUAAGUUAAUAGAUGCAACAUGUUUAGAACAUUGCCAUGGGCUGGGCGCUGUGGCUCAUGCCUGUAAUCUCCACAAUUUGUGAGGCCAAGGCGGGUGGAUCACCUGAGGUCCGGAGUUCGAGACCAUCCUGACCAACAUGGCGAAACCCCGUCUCUACUGAAAAUACAAAAAUUAGCCAAGUGUGGUGGCAUGCACCUGUAAUCCCAGCUACUCAGGAGGCUGAGACAGGAGAAUUGCUUGAACCUGGGAGGUGGAGGUUGCAGUGAGCCAAGGUCACACCAUUGCACUCCAGCUUGGGUAACAAGAGUGAAACUCCAUCUCUAGAAAAAAAAAAAAAAGAACAGUGCCAUGUACACAGUCACCAUCUAGUAAUAAUAUCAUCUAUUAUGUCUGAACCCUGGAUGGUCGCAUAUCCUUGAAGAGUUUAAAAUUCUGGACUUUGAAAUGCCAGACUGUGGGAUCCUGGAAUCUGUCAGCUUCAUGCUAACCUCUUCCAGCUGCAGAAUUUUAUGCUUCUUUGCAGGGUUGGAAGGUGUAGGGCAGUACAUUUACCUAGUUCUGCUUCACUGUAGUGUGAUUUCAAAGCCUUCCCUUCUCCUUCCCCUGCAUGCUCCCUCA
Molecule: long non-coding RNA, 2009 nt
Filed under: Homo sapiens (human)
Lineage: Eukaryota; Metazoa; Chordata; Mammalia; Primates; Hominidae
Description: non-protein coding lnc-ZNF117-3:3
Source: RNAcentral